RNAcentral lists this ribosomal RNA (253 nucleotides) under uncultured bacterium. RNAcentral describes it as "partial 16S ribosomal RNA". It matches the Rfam family "Bacterial small subunit ribosomal RNA", at positions 524 to 776 of the family's 1533-position model. The record is from RNAcentral.
GACGGAGGGUGCAAGCGUUGUUCGGAAUUACUGGGCGUAAAGCGCGUGUAGGCGGCUAGCUAAGUCUGAUGUGAAAGCCCGGGGCUCACCCCCGGAAGUGCAUUGGAAACUGGCGAGCUCGAGUCCCGGAGAGGAGGGUGGAAUUCCUGGUGUAGCGGUGAAAUGCGUAGAUAUCAGGAGGAACACCGGUGGCGAAGGCGGCCCUCUGGACGGUGACUGACGCUGAGACGCGAAAGCGUGGGGAGCAAACAGG